Molecule: small RNA, 451 nt
Filed under: Pongo abelii (Sumatran orangutan)
Lineage: Eukaryota; Metazoa; Chordata; Mammalia; Primates; Hominidae
Description: processed transcript
Source: RNAcentral
AUUAACCUGUAGGGUGGUGAUGCUGAUGGCUACCCCAUGGUUUAGAUAAGUGCAGAAAAUAGUGCUUUAUAUUUGGCAAGCCCAGAACCAGGAAAAGAAGUGUUCUGUAGUUGGAUUUGAUCACGGAUCUGUUGGGCACACCAUCACUGGAAGCAAUGAGGACAGCUUGUGAAGGCGCUAAGGCACAUAUACUCAGGGGUCCUCAUAAACAGCCAUCUCUUCCUGUACUCUAUACCCUGUCUAGCCAGGCUACACAUGAAGCUGUUCAUCUCCUUUGCAGGAUGUUGGUCUUUGAUCCAUCCAAAAGAAUAUCCGCUAAGGAUGCCUUAGCCCACCCCUACCUAGAUGAAGGGCGACUACGAUAUCACACAUGUAUGUGUAAAUGUUGCUUUUCCACCUCUACUGGAAGAGUUUAUACCAGUGACUUUGAGCCUGUCACCAAUCCCAAAUU